GCAAAUUCCUAUCCUAGAAAUGAGAAAAAUACAAUGUCAUAACAUCUAGCAACAGUACAAUAAGUUUGGCGGAUAUUGACAUCACCUUCAUGAAGAAAAAUGAAACAAUUUACUAGGGACUAUGUCAUGGUUAAGAGAGGGUACCUAUGAAGCUCACUAAAUGGACAUACUAGCUCGAAUUUAGCAGAACUUCCAGCGAUUUUGGCAGUUCACACAUGUCACGUAUGUGGUCAUGGAUUCAUCUGCACUCCGCGUUUGCAUCUGAUAGUAGGUGCAUUGACUCUUCUUACACCUACCACACUUGAACUUAUCAGUACUAGCCUGUACAGGAGCUCCGCGUUCACUAUUGAAUAACGCUUUUUCCUUGAUUUUCUCGUUCUGCUUUUGCCGUUCUUCGCUUGCCAUAUCUUCUGGCGUCAGAUCAGUAAUAGUACUAGGAGGGAACUUCCCCAGAAGAACUUUUCUCCGGAAAUCUUGAUUGUUUUGAUCCUUAAUAUUGAACAUCAUAGACCUGUACUUAAACUUCUGGGCACCAUUAGAUCUACCCCACUUCUCAAACAUGGCAGUCUCUACCUGAACAGCAACUCUAUACGGAUCACAUGCAUUUACCUCAUCCCUCAAUUCCUCGUCAACUUCACCUGAGACUUUGCAUAAAGCCUCUGCAAGGAGUUCCCGAACUUUGUCCCGCACAGAAUCUUUGCAAUAAAUUAGAGCGCCCAACUUUGGCGGAGCAGCACCUACCACAUUAGAGCUACUCUUUUCAGUCUUCAGAACAAUAACACGUUCAACCUUUUUCUCAGCGAAGGCACUUUCUGUGUUUACUACUUCCUCAAUUUUUGAAGUCAUCCUUUCGACCUUAACAUCAUCAACCCUAGACACCUUUUCAACCUUCACCGACUCUGCUCUCUGAGAUUUAGUGGCUCCAUUGGCAGUAGCACCAGCAGAUUCAUCUUUUACAGAUUCCCCAUUCACUCCAUUGCUGUUCUUACUUUUCAGUGUUUCUCUUACGAUUAUAUUCUUCCAGUUCUGAACCACAUCAGAUGCCAAAGCCUGGAUCUUCUCCCUUGGAUGUUUUGUCAAUUGUCGAAGACGCUUACCCACCUGUGUAGAUACGAGAACUUGAUAAUUGACAGGAAACUUCUUAAGCUGCUUCAAAACGUCAAGACACCUACUCUCCUCCGGCGAUGAAUCCGCACCGCCGUCUACCGCAGCUUCAUCCGCGG
RNAcentral lists this unclassified non-coding RNA (1223 nucleotides) under Hevea brasiliensis (rubber tree). Lineage: Eukaryota; Viridiplantae; Streptophyta; Magnoliopsida; Malpighiales; Euphorbiaceae. The record is from RNAcentral.